Molecule: long non-coding RNA, 1379 nt
Organism: Arachis stenosperma
Lineage: Eukaryota; Viridiplantae; Streptophyta; Magnoliopsida; Fabales; Fabaceae
Exons: 4
Source: RefSeq, a predicted model, not a curated record
AGCCCAGGUCCAAAACAGGGAUCCAUGCCUCAAUCCGACCUGCCAUCCUUCCGUGUUUCUCCACCCUUGCCGCGGGAGAGAUGUUGAAUUUGCCAGGCAACGCAGCAGCUUCCUCUCUUCAGCAACCAGAGCGUUGAUGGAGCCCCUGCGCUUUGGCGACGCUGCCAAAUUGAUUACCCCGAAGAGUGUUCACGUCUGAGCCGCCUCGACAUCGUCUUGCGUCCGUGGCAGCAUCCAGGACCUCGUCGUCAAAGCCUUCCAUCGCCCUCCACCCCCGGCCGCUCUAGUCCGACCCACCAACUCAGAGCAAUAAGCGAGUCCUUGCCUGAUAGCGACGCAGCCGGAGCAACGUCGCCAGAGCCUGUUGUUGUCGGGGUUUCGCCCAGCAGUUAGAUUCCUCUGCCUCCUUAGUUCGCCGACACUGAGACCUCCCUGGCCCUGCUCUGCUUCAUGAUCCUCUAUCUCAAAUCAUUACCGAUCUGGAUUGUAUUUGGACUUUCCUGUCUCCUUACUUGGUGGUUUAGUGCUCCAACUCCCUCGUAAAGUUCCUACUUCUGCUGUUUUUGCCACUGCAUGGGCUAGACGAUUUCCAUUGCUGGGAGUCCAAGUCAUUCCCUUUUUAGCUAUUGCACCUGUUCCAGUAUCCUUUCUGAAGGUUGCAUCAACAUUUGCUUUCAACCAGUUUUAAGGGGGAGGUCUCCAUUUCACCAGGUUUGAGUUCCACCAUUGCAGACUCAGCAUAUGUCCUUCAAUCCUCCAUGGUCCACCCUCAUACGCUCUUCUAGCUUCCUCCGGACUUUUGAAGUUCAAGAUAAAAGAGUUUGAUCCUGCAUUGGUGAUCACCAAACCCUGCGAAUCUCCCCACAUGUUGAGAAUCAUUUUGCGCACUGUGACCGUGUUCAGCACCUUUUCCGUCAACACUCGGCCAACUAGUUUCUGAUCUGUAUUAUCUCCAUGUUGAGCUAGAGAUUCUUCUAGUUCUAGAACAUCCCCUUCCAUGCCUGAAUUUUCUGUACCUUCCAUGACUUGCCUAGUUGAUUUGAUUUCCUUCUUUUAUUUUGUCUCUCUCAGUUAUUUGUGAUUGUCUUCAAAUUUGUAUCUGAACUAGACUUGAGAAGAAAUUAUGAUCAGAGCUCCACUUGUCGAAGCAGUAUAUCUCCAUUUUUAGAGAGCGUAAAGGCUCCACUCUUGGAGAAGUUACUACACUUGUUUAAUAACACUUCUUGCUGUUGAUGCUGUUCAUUUUCCAUUCCUAUUCCCGUGCUUUUUUUUUUGGUAAUACUAUUCCCGUGCUUAGUUAUGAUUAAUGACACUGCUAAGCAAAUUUUUGGUUUAUGGGCAAGUUAUCCCAGACUUAGUAAUGGGCCAUAGUGGAUGAU